UGGGGAAUUUUGGACAAUGGGCGCAAGCCUGAUCCAGCCAUGCCGCGUGAGUGAUGAAGGCCCUAGGGUUGUAAAGCCCUUUCACCGGUGAAGAUAAUGACGGUAACCGGAGAAGAAGCCCUGGCUAACUUCGUGCCAGCAGCCGCGGUAAUACGAAGGGGGCUAGCGUUGUUCGGAUUUACUGGGCGUAAAGCGCACGUAGGCGGACUUUUAAGUCAGGGGUAAAAUCCCGGGGCUCAACCCCGGAACUGCCUUGGAUACUGGAAGUCUUGGGUAUGGUCAGGGUGGUUGGAAUUCCGAGUGUAGAGGUGAAAUUCGUAGAUAUUCGGAGGAACACCAGUGGCGAAGGCGGCUCACUGGAACAUUACUGACGCUGAGGUGCGAAAGCGUGGGGAGCAAACAGG
Molecule: ribosomal RNA, 404 nt
Filed under: Actinomycetes bacterium
Lineage: Bacteria; Bacillati; Actinomycetota; Actinomycetes
Description: Actinobacteria bacterium partial 16S ribosomal RNA
Rfam family: Bacterial small subunit ribosomal RNA
Source: RNAcentral